Molecule: long non-coding RNA, 1755 nt
Organism: Oncorhynchus nerka (sockeye salmon)
Lineage: Eukaryota; Metazoa; Chordata; Actinopteri; Salmoniformes; Salmonidae
Exons: 6
Source: RefSeq, a predicted model, not a curated record
CAGGGGCCUGUUGCACAAAAGUAGAAUUAAGACAUCCGGGAUAAAUGACUCAGCUGAGCUCAAUGAAGCCAAAACAUGUGCGUCCAGGCUUAAUUGGUUGCACAAAGACCAAGCCAGGAUGAGCAGACACGGAUUCAUUAAGCCAGGUGAAACCAAUCCUGGAUAGGUGCGCGCUCACGGCUCACUCAAAUAGACCCCGCCACAGAUCACAGAUUAACUGAUUUACCAUGGCAACUAGAGCCGCGUACUUUUCCCCGUCGGAAGCACAAAUCCUCAUGGAGGCAUACGAGGAGGUAAAAGAUAUAAUUAAGAAGAAAGGCAACACCGCCACAGUGAUAAAGCAAAGAGAAAAAGCGUGGCAAAGUAUUGCAGACCGCCUGAAUGCCAGGUCAAAAUCAAAUACAAGAACAUUCUGCAGAAUGCAGUGAAAAAGAAUACCCACAGACAAGGCACGGGUGGUGGGUCACCAAAGGCUGACCUUACCCCAGCAGAGGACAUGGCCUUGGAGCUAAAUAAAGGCAGGCCCGUCUUAGAGGGGAUCCCUGGGGGGAAAGAGACGAGCAUAGGUUCCUCCCAAGAUGCCACCCGCUUCAUUCAAGGUAUGUCCUUCCAUCUCUACAUGGGAUACAACCACAUUCAUAUUGAAUCAAUUUGGACUGUCUGACUUUGGUUUACCUAUUGCCUGGCAGCACUGUGUUCCUGUUAGAGCCACCAGCACAAGCACCAGACGAUGCUGAUCCAGGUGAAGGCCCCAGUGCAGCAGCAACAGCACAUGAUGGAGACGAUGAUGAGGAGGAGACCAUCUCUCUGGAUUCCAGAAGGCAUGAGGACCCAGAUGCUAUACAGUGGGAAAACCAGCCUGGCAACAUAGUGCGUAUUAAUAAAAGGACACCACAUCCUGCCAAAUUCCAGCUGCGCUAAUUGUAUUGUGUUCACAGAGCUCACAAGCUAUCAGAAAGUUGUAUGGCAACCACCUCCGGCGCCAAAUAGAACUGGCAGACAUAGACAUUCAGUACAAGAAGAAAAAGAUGGAAAAUCUUGCACUGGAGUCCGAAAUAAAAAAGAGGACAAUUAGGAAACUGGACCUUGAAAUAAAAAAACUUGAGAGGGAGCUCCAAGAAGAUGACACAGCUCAAAAUAAAAAUUAGGUAUAUUCUCGUAAAGUCAAGUGAGCCAUGACAUAUGAGCUCUUAUUGUGAGCACACAGGACGGUGGCAUCUUUCUAAGGUUUUUUUUAUUUUCCCAGCAAUCAGUACAACCAAGUCAUCGUUAUAAGGCAUCGCCCUCUUUUGCCCAUCCCCCCAGCACCAGGUGUGGCCACUAGCCUAUAUGAAGGCCCAAAAUUGUGUGUUCCUUUCUGCUCUGACAAUGGCAUGCCCAUUCGUGCGAGAUGUGGUGGAUGAAGAAGUACUUGUGCUGAGGAGAGCCUUCAGGCGAGAAAGGGUCUUCAGGGACCGGUUGGACCCACUGGCCUUCCCUGAUGACCAUCUAUAUGAAAGAUACAGGAUUUCUGCAGAUGGCAUCAGGUAUCUAUGCAGACUACUGGGUCCCAGGAUUAAGCACCGCACUGCACGGAGCCAUGCACUGAGUGGGGAGCAAAUGGUUUGUGUGGCCUUGCGCUUUUUUGCUAGUGGAGCCUUCCUGUACUCAGUGGGGGAUGCAUUUACAUUUAAGUCAUUUAGCAGACGCUCUUAUCCAGAGCGACUUACAAAUUGGUGCUUUCACCUUAUGACAUCCAGUGGAACAGCCACUUUA